UACGGGGGGGGCAAGCGUUGUUCGGAAUUACUGGGCGUAAAGGGCUCGUAGGCGGCCAACUAAGUCAGACGUGAAAUCCCCAGGCUCAACUUGGGAACUGCGUCUGAUACUGGAUGGCUUGAAUUCGGGAGAGGGAUGCGGAAUUCCAGGUGUAGCGGUGAAAUGCGUAGAUAUCUGGAGGAACACCGGUGGCGAAGGCGGCAUCCUGGACCGAGACUGACGCUGAUGAGCGAAAGCGUGGGGAGCAAACAGG
Molecule: ribosomal RNA, 253 nt
Filed under: uncultured bacterium
Lineage: Bacteria
Description: partial 16S ribosomal RNA
Rfam family: Bacterial small subunit ribosomal RNA
Source: RNAcentral